This 90-nucleotide microRNA precursor is filed under the name Arabidopsis thaliana (thale cress). RNAcentral describes it as "ATSL266690". Lineage: Eukaryota; Viridiplantae; Streptophyta; Magnoliopsida; Brassicales; Brassicaceae. The record is from RNAcentral.
AAAGAUUUGAUGGUGUAGCUGAAGUCCGUAUGAGUCUUUGUCUUUGUAUCUUCUAACAAGGAAACACUACUUAGGCUUUUAAGAUCUGAU